CCACAUUGGUCGAUUGGGAAACUCAUCAAUUACAUCAACGAAACGAGUUAGUUUUUUCUGUCAAUGGCGGGUCGCAUCCUUCGGGACAUGCAUUUAUGCACAGCGAAUUACAGACACAGCGAAGCGCUCAAAUCCUGACUAUAGGAGUUUCGUCUUAUUCCACCAAUGUGGCUUUA
Molecule: small RNA, 176 nt
Filed under: pig gut metagenome
Description: Bacteroidales-1 6S-Bacteroidales RNA suggested
Rfam family: Bacteroidales-1 6S-Bacteroidales RNA suggested
Source: RNAcentral